This 376-nucleotide unclassified non-coding RNA is filed under the name uncultured Gammaproteobacteria bacterium. RNAcentral's name for it is "contains 16S-23S intergenic spacer region". Lineage: Bacteria; Pseudomonadati; Pseudomonadota; Gammaproteobacteria. The record is from RNAcentral.
UCCGUGUUAACCACGGCAGUCUCUUUAGAGUGCUCAACUAAAUGUGGCAACUAAUGGCAAGGGUUGCGCUCGUUGCGGGACUUAACCCAACAUCUCACGACACGAGCUGACGACAGCCAUGCAGCACCUGUGUUACGGCUCCCUUUCGGGCACCCUCACAUCUCUGGAGGCUUCCGUACAUGUCAAGGGUAGGUAAGGUUUUUCGCGUUGCAUCGAAUUAAUCCACAUAAUCCACCGCUUGUGCGGGUCCCCGUCAAUUCCUUUGAGUUUUAACCUUGCGGCCGUACUCCCCAGGCGGCUCACUUCACGCGUUAGCUACGGUACCAAGGAAUCGCUUCCCCAACACCUAGUGAGCAUCGUUUAGGGCGUGGACUAC